CAGCAAAAUCAGGAAUGCCACCCAAUCUUGAUUUGAUCAAGCAGCUAGAUAGUAAAGCAGUCAAACAAGGGAAAAAAGCUGAUACGUUUUCCUUGGGUCGUUCCUCUCAAGCUCCUUUGUUACAGCUGAAAGAUGUAGUGUCGACCACUGGAGAUCUGCGUUGGGCAGUUCCAAAACCAGUUAUGAUCCAAUCGGGUGUUAGUUCCAGAUCUGUGUCACCUUUCUCUAGGAAGCCAAGUCCGCCACGCUCAGCAACACCUGUACCUACCACUGCAGGACUUUCAUUCUCCAAAAGCAUUGCUGACAGUUUGAAGAAGACCAAUGAGCUUUUAAAUCAGGAAGUUCACAAACUACGGGCUCAGGUUGAGAACCUGAGACAUCGUUGUGAACUUCAGGAG
RNAcentral lists this unclassified non-coding RNA (398 nucleotides) under Hevea brasiliensis (rubber tree). Lineage: Eukaryota; Viridiplantae; Streptophyta; Magnoliopsida; Malpighiales; Euphorbiaceae. The record is from RNAcentral.